Molecule: RNA transcript, 1176 nt
Organism: Rhododendron vialii
Lineage: Eukaryota; Viridiplantae; Streptophyta; Magnoliopsida; Ericales; Ericaceae
Exons: 4
Source: RefSeq, a predicted model, not a curated record
GUUUAGGCCUUUUGUAGGGGGCAUGUCCCUAGUUCUUACUGCUAUUUCGUGUGUGGAUGCUACUGCUGUCUCUGUUAUGGCGGCUGCUGCCGGUACACUGCUGGUGCAAUCAGCUGCAAAAUGUUGUUCUGCUGUUCUGUAUAUUCUGUUUUGGCAGCUCCAAUCUUCUAUUUGCUACAACCUGUUUUGCUAUCACCCUGAUGAUAUUUUCUGCUGCUGUUUCUGAUCAUUGACCUCAGUCGAUGCUGCUGUUUGCAAAUCAAAGUAGUUGAUGCCGAUGUUCGAAAUUGCAUUGCAUUGUCUUCUUCCAUUAACAAUGCAAUGCAAUUUGGCUAAGUCUGAAAUAGUUUUGGCUGGCCCUAGGAAACUAAGAUGAUCUGAAACAUAUUUUCAAGAUUUAUACUUCACAGGUUGCUUAUUAUGGUUUUAUGUGUAAACUUCUUCGUUUCAUGUGCAGUUAUCUCUAUGAUGGUACGUUCAAAGGCCAAUGCGAGGAAAUCAGUAGUACCACCUAUGAAAGUGCAGGUCAAGAUGGGUGCAAUAGUUCACGAGGGAAGUAGUUCACACCAGAAGCAACGGAAACCUAGUUGUUUCGCUGUUUAUGUGAAGGAUUUUACUCGAGGUUUAAAGGCAGUAUUUGAAGAAGACAAUAUAAUAAAACAAACAGAGGUGAUGGCAGCCAUGUCGGAAUGGUGGCAUGAGGGAUACUUGCGAAAGAAGUACGACAAAACCUAUUCUGGAUCAAGCAGUGAGGAAGAGAAUGAUGAGGUCGAUGUGAAUGAUGAGGAAUCGAGUGAACAAGAGGGCGACAAUUGUCCCCCCCGUCGAAAGAAGAAGAAGAAGAAGAGUACAGGGGAGAGUAAAAAGAAGAAGAAAGUGCCGGUAUGUCAAUAACUAACGAUGCUUUGUACCUUGCUUAGGAGUUGAAAUGCUUAAUCAUGGGAUUUCACCUUUAUGUGCAUUUAUGUCCAUAUAUAGCUUAUUAUAAAGACAAGGUGUUCCCCUAGGAAAUUUGUUUCCUUGAUUGCUCAAUUGACUCAAGACCAACGUGAUGCAAUCAAAGCAUGUAAUCCAUUCCAUUCAUUACUUCAUGUCAAGUGUGGCCAUAUGCAUAGAGUUUUUGCUAUGCAUUUGGUCCAAUGUUUCAAUCCAGAAACCUAUAGCAUCGAAUUUAGG